RNAcentral lists this ribosomal RNA (461 nucleotides) under uncultured bacterium. Its description in RNAcentral is "partial 16S ribosomal RNA". It matches the Rfam family "Bacterial small subunit ribosomal RNA", at positions 338 to 795 of the family's 1533-position model. The record is from RNAcentral.
CCUACGGGAGGCAGCAGUGGGGGAUAUUGCACAAUGGGGGCGAGCCUGAACCAGCCAAGUAGCGUGAAGGAUGACGGCCCUACGGGUUGUAAACUUCUUUUAUAAAGGAAUAAAGUGAGGCACGUGUGCCUUUUUGUAUGUACUUUAUGAAUAAGGAUCGGCUAACUCCGUGCCAGCAGCCGCGGUAAUACGGGGGAUGCAAGCGUUAUCCGGAUUUAUUGGGUUUAAAGGGUGCGUAGGCUGUGAGGGAAGUCAGCGGUGAAAUGCCCCCGCUCAACGGGGUGAAGUGCCAUUGAUACUGGCUUGCUUGACUGCGCGUGCCGUAGGAGGAAUGUGUGGUGUAGCGGUGAAAUGCAUAGAUAUCACGCAGAACACCGAUUGCGAAGGCAUCUCACGAAUCCGCGAUUGACGCUGAUGCACGAAAGCGUGGGUAUCAAACAGGAUUAGAUACCCCUGUAGUC